This 74-nucleotide transfer RNA is filed under the name Proteiniclasticum sp. RNAcentral describes it as "tRNA-Trp". It matches the Rfam family "tRNA". Rfam says of the family: Transfer RNA (tRNA) molecules are approximately 80 nucleotides in length. Their secondary structure includes four short double-helical elements and three loops (D, anti-codon, and T loops). Lineage: Bacteria; Bacillati; Bacillota; Clostridia; Eubacteriales; Clostridiaceae. RNAcentral also lists the same sequence under 1 other name. The record is from RNAcentral.
AGGGGUAUAGUUCAACGGCAGAGCAACGGUCUCCAAAACCGUAAAUCAAGGUUCGAAUCCUUGUACCCCUGCCA